Molecule: small nucleolar RNA, 107 nt
Filed under: Oryza sativa Japonica Group (Japanese rice)
Lineage: Eukaryota; Viridiplantae; Streptophyta; Magnoliopsida; Poales; Poaceae
Description: Plant small nucleolar RNA R71
Source: RNAcentral
AUCCCAUGAUGAGGAUAGGCAGCCACAUACUCAUGUAGUCGUUCCCACGCCUCGGGAAUAGACUCGUCUCUCGUCUGCUGGAAGCUUCAAAUUAAUCCGCCUAGGGU